This 85-nucleotide transfer RNA is filed under the name Acidobacteriota bacterium. RNAcentral describes it as "Acidobacteria bacterium (activated sludge metagenome) tRNA-Leu". It matches the Rfam family "tRNA". Rfam says of the family: Transfer RNA (tRNA) molecules are approximately 80 nucleotides in length. The record is from RNAcentral. RNAcentral also lists the same sequence under 1 other name. Lineage: Bacteria; Pseudomonadati; Acidobacteriota.
GCCGAGGUGGCGAAAUUGGUAGACGCACUAGACUUAGGAUCUAGCGUUGCAAGACGUGCGAGUUCGAGUCUCGCCCUCGGCACCA